UACGGGGGGGCAAGCGUUGUUCGGAAUUACUGGGCGUAAAGGGCUCGUAGGCGGCCAACUAAGUCAGACGUGAAAUCCCCAGGCUCAACCUGGGAACUGCGUCUGAUACUGGAUGGCUUGAAUCCGGGAGAGGGAUGCAGAAUUCCAGGUGUAGCGGUGAAAUGCGUAGAUAUCGGCAGGAACACCCAGGGGGAAACCAGUCGACUGGGCAUCUACUGACGCUGAGGUGCGAGAGCGUGGGGAGCGAACCGG
RNAcentral lists this ribosomal RNA (252 nucleotides) under uncultured bacterium. RNAcentral's name for it is "partial 16S ribosomal RNA". It matches the Rfam family "Bacterial small subunit ribosomal RNA", at positions 524 to 776 of the family's 1533-position model. The record is from RNAcentral.